AUGCACGCUGGCGGCGUGCCUAAUACAUGCAAGUCGAGCGCACAGACGAGGAGCUUGCUCCUCUGACGUUAGCGGCGGACGGGUGAGUAACACGUGGAUAACCUACCUAUAAGACUGGGAUAACUUCGGGAAACCGGAGCUAAUACCGGAUAAUAUAUUGAACCGCAUGGUUCAAUAGUGAAAGACGGUUUUGCUGUCACUUAUAGAUGGAUCCGCGCCGCAUUAGCUAGCUGGUAAGGUAACGGCUUACCAAGGCAACGAUGCGUAGCCGACCUGAGAGGGUGAUCGGCCACACUGGAACUGAGACACGGUCCAGACUCCUACGGGAGGCAGCAGUAGGGAAUCUUCCGCAAUGGGCGAAAGCCUGACGGAGCAACGCCGCGUGAGUGAUGAAGGUCUUCGGAUCGUAAAACUCUGUUAUUAGGGAAGAACAAAUGUGUAAGUAACGAUGCACGUCUUGACGGUACCUAAUCAGAAAGCCACGGCUAACUACGU
RNAcentral lists this ribosomal RNA (495 nucleotides) under uncultured bacterium. RNAcentral describes it as "partial 16S ribosomal RNA". It matches the Rfam family "Bacterial small subunit ribosomal RNA", at positions 29 to 506 of the family's 1533-position model. The record is from RNAcentral.